Molecule: ribosomal RNA, 253 nt
Filed under: uncultured bacterium
Lineage: Bacteria
Description: partial 16S ribosomal RNA
Rfam family: Bacterial small subunit ribosomal RNA
Source: RNAcentral
UACAGAGGGGGCAAGCGUUGUUCGGAAUUACUGGGCGUAAAGGGCGCGUAGGCGGCCUGUUAAGUCGAACGUGAAAUCCCCGGGCUCAACCCGGGAACUGCGUCCGAUACUGGCAGGCUUGAAUUCGGGAGAGGGAUGUGGAAUUCCAGGUGUAGCAGUGAAAUGCGUAGAUAUCUGGAGGAACACCGGUGGCGAAGGCGGCGAGCUGGUCCAUCACUGACGCUGAGGCGCGACAGCGUGGGGAGCAAACAGG